This 405-nucleotide ribosomal RNA is filed under the name uncultured bacterium. Its description in RNAcentral is "partial 16S ribosomal RNA". It matches the Rfam family "Bacterial small subunit ribosomal RNA", at positions 28 to 526 of the family's 1533-position model. The record is from RNAcentral.
GAUGAACGCUGGCGGCGUGCCUAAUACAUGCAAGUCGAGCGAAGCGUGCACGGGUGAGUAAAACGUGGAUAACCUCCCAUAUGAGUGGGAUAACUUCGUGAAACCGGAGCUAAACCGGAUACUUAUACUUUGAUCGACGCUGCAUUAGCUAGUUGGUAAGGUAACGGCUUACCAAGGCAACGAUGCAUAGCCGACCUGAGAGGGGGAGGGGCCACACGGGAACGGAGAAACGGUCAAGACUCCUACGGGAGGCAGAAGUAGGGAAUCUUCCGCAAUGGGCGAAAGCCUGACGGAGCAACGCCGCGGGAGUGAUGAAGGUCUUCGGAUCGUAAAACUCUGUUAUUAGGGAAGCGGUACCUAAUCAGAAAGCCACGGCUAACUACGUGCCAGCCGCCGCGGUAAUAC